UACGAAGGGGGCGAGCGUUGUUCGGAAUUACUGGGCGUAAAGGGCGCGUAGGCGGCCCCUUUUGUCGCGUGUGAAAGCCCCGGGCUCAACCCGGGAACGGCGCGCGAAACGGGGGGGCUUGAGUUCGGGAGAGGAGCGUGGAAUUCCCAGUGUAGAGGUGAAAUUCGUAGAUAUUGGGAAGAACACCGGUGGCGAAGGCGGCGCUCUGGACCGAGACUGACGCUGAGGCGCGAAAGCGUGGGGAGCAAACAGG
This 253-nucleotide ribosomal RNA is filed under the name uncultured bacterium. Its description in RNAcentral is "partial 16S ribosomal RNA". It matches the Rfam family "Bacterial small subunit ribosomal RNA", at positions 524 to 776 of the family's 1533-position model. The record is from RNAcentral.